This is a non-coding RNA of Macaca mulatta (Rhesus monkey), 1451 nucleotides long. The record is from RefSeq and is a predicted model, not a curated record. Lineage: Eukaryota; Metazoa; Chordata; Mammalia; Primates; Cercopithecidae.
GAUCUGUCCCCUGCAGUGGCAUACGAGGUUCUUGAGGGCAAAGACUGUAUCUACCUUAAUCCUGUCCCAGUGUCCGGCCAAUAGAAGCUCCUUGGAUCAUUUACCAUCCGCUUCCUCAGAAAACAAGCAGUUCAGGAUUGUUGCUGGAAAUGCGUUGAGUUGGAAGUUGACACUGUGGGUGCAUGGUCCUUCCUGUUGAAUCUAAGCAGGCCUGUGACUACAGUGGAAGGGAAGCUUCCUGACUUCCAAGGCUGACUCAUAACAAGUGUGAAUAGAGCCAACCCGUGUGACUAAUAGGAUACUGCAGAAGUGGUGGUGCGUGGCUUCUAAGAAUAAGUAAUAAAAUGCAUUGCAGCUGCUGCCUUGGCUUCUGGGGAAGCCAGCUGCUGCAUAGUUAGAUCACUCUGCAGCAAGGUCCCCAGCGAGGAACUGAGGCCUCCACAACAGCUGGCACCGGUAUGACAGUCACAGGAAAAAGCCACCCUGGAAGUAGAUCCCGUCACCCCAAACAAGUCUUCAGAUGGCUGCCAACUCAGCCAACAUCCAACUCAGCCUCACGAAAACUCCCAGACAUGGUGAGAAAUAAUAAUGUGUAUUGUUUUAGGCUACUGCAUUGCGGGUAUUGAUUAUGCAACAGUAAACAAUUACUACAAGAAGUCGGGUUCUACCGUCAGAGGAGCCGGUGUUUGAUUUUCACUUGAUCACACGGCCACAUGUUAACUUCCCCAAGCCUGAGUUUCCUCCUGCAAAAAUGACAGCACCCACUUCCUGCUGUCAUUUCGAGGGUUACAUUAGAUAAUCCAUGUAGAAUGCUAAGCAUGAUGCCUGACAUACAGUAAGCUUGCUGCAAAUGUUAGCUCCCAUUACGAUUAUUACUCCAGCUCUACCUAUUCAAAUUUUUGUGCGGUUAUCAAGACGUGAUUCUUAUAACAGCAUUUGAACAUAAAAGAAGUGAUAGUAAUGAAGGGACCCACUUGGAUCCACCCCAAGACGGCAUAAAGAUUACUUUAAAUUGAAGACAUUUGAAAUACAGCAGAGGCAGAAAGAAGACUUUCUGGAGCUUCCCUUAUCUGAAUAAAGGCAGAGACUUCUGAGAAUAAAUGCCCUGUCCUGGGAAGUUUCCAGCCAGGAAGGAGGCUGACCAUUAGAGAAGGUGCAUAAACAAACCUUAUCAAAAACCAUCUACCUUCCAUUUGUCCUCCUAGAACAAAUCUUCUAUCUUUACUCCAUCCUCACCCUCACCCUUUCCCUUCCCUGGUUAAGCUGGCAUGUAAGCCCGUACCCCCAGCUGUUCAGUGAGUUCAUCAGUACUGAGUACUCCCACAGACAAGGCAAUCAACUUCAUCUUUUCUUUUGUUAAUAUAUCAAUUGUCAGUUAAUUUGCAGACCCCUGGUAUCUGGACCUAAGUUAAUAGAGGAAAAGUUUUUCUCCCAACAGUAAUAUAGCAUCU